This 352-nucleotide unclassified non-coding RNA is filed under the name soil metagenome. Its description in RNAcentral is "partial contains 5.8S ribosomal RNA, internal transcribed spacer 2, and large subunit ribosomal RNA". The stretch from base 1 to 120 matches the Rfam family "5.8S ribosomal RNA", at positions 35 to 154 of the family's 154-position model. The record is from RNAcentral.
GAUGAAGAACGCAGCGAAAUGCGAUAAGUAAUGCGAAUUGCAGAAUUCAGUGAAUCAUCGAAUCUUUGAACGCACAUUGCGCCCGCUAGUAUUCUGGCGGGCAUGCCUGUCUGAGCGUCAUUACAACCCUCAGGCCCCCGGGCCUGGCGUUGGGGAUCGGCGGAGCCCCCCGUGGGCACACGCCGUCCCCCAAAUGCAGUGGCGGUCCCGCCGCAGCUUCCAUCGCGUAGUAGCUAACACCUCGCGACUGGAGAGCGGCGCGGCCACGCCGUAAAACACCCAACUCUUCUGAAGUUGACCUCGAAUCAGGUAGGAAUACCCGCUGAACUUAAGCAUAUCAAUAAGCGGAGGA